Molecule: ribosomal RNA, 2883 nt
Filed under: Vibrio cholerae
Lineage: Bacteria; Pseudomonadati; Pseudomonadota; Gammaproteobacteria; Vibrionales; Vibrionaceae
Description: Bacterial large subunit ribosomal RNA
Rfam family: Bacterial large subunit ribosomal RNA
Source: RNAcentral
GUUAAGUGACUAAGCGUACACGGUGGAUGCCUGGGCAGUCAGAGGCGAUGAAGGACGUACUAACUUGCGAUAAGCGCAGAUAAGGCAGUAAGAGCCGUUUGAGUCUGCGAUUUCCGAAUGGGGAAACCCAACUGCAUAAGCAGUUACUGUUAACUGAAUACAUAGGUUAACAGAGCAAACCGGGGGAACUGAAACAUCUAAGUACCCCGAGGAGAAGAAAUCAACCGAGAUUCCGGUAGUAGCGGCGAGCGAACCUGGAUUAGCCCUUAAGCACUCGGUGAAGUAGGUGAACAAGCUGGAAAGCUUGGCGAUACAGGGUGAUAGCCCCGUAACCGACGCUUCAUCGAGCGUGAAAUCGAGUAGGGCGGGACACGUGAUAUCCUGUCUGAAUAUGGGGGGACCAUCCUCCAAGGCUAAAUACUCCUGACUGACCGAUAGUGAACCAGUACCGUGAGGGAAAGGCGAAAAGACCCCUGUGAGGGGAGUGAAAUAGAACCUGAAACCGUGUACGUACAAGCAGUAGGAGCACCUUCGUGGUGUGACUGCGUACCUUUUGUAUAAUGGGUCAGCGACUUAUAUUCAGUGGCAAGGUUAACCGUAUAGGGGAGCCGUAGCGAAAGCGAGUCUUAACUGGGCGCUCAGUCUCUGGAUAUAGACCCGAAACCGGGUGAUCUAGCCAUGGGCAGGUUGAAGGUUGAGUAACAUCAACUGGAGGACCGAACCGACUAAUGUUGAAAAAUUAGCGGAUGACUUGUGGCUAGGGGUGAAAGGCCAAUCAAACUCGGAGAUAGCUGGUUCUCCCCGAAAGCUAUUUAGGUAGCGCCUCGGACGAAUACUACUGGGGGUAGAGCACUGUUAAGGCUAGGGGGUCAUCCCGACUUACCAACCCUUUGCAAACUCCGAAUACCAGUAAGUACUAUCCGGGAGACACACGGCGGGUGCUAACGUCCGUCGUGGAGAGGGAAACAACCCAGACCGCCAGCUAAGGUCCCAAAGUAUUGCUAAGUGGGAAACGAUGUGGGAAGGCUCAGACAGCUAGGAUGUUGGCUUAGAAGCAGCCAUCAUUUAAAGAAAGCGUAAUAGCUCACUAGUCGAGUCGGCCUGCGCGGAAGAUGUAACGGGGCUAAGCAAUACACCGAAGCUGCGGCAAUGUCUUUUAGACAUUGGGUAGGGGAGCGUUCUGUAAGCCGUUGAAGGUGAAUCGUAAGGUUUGCUGGAGGUAUCAGAAGUGCGAAUGCUGACAUGAGUAACGACAAAGGGGGUGAAAAACCUCCUCGCCGGAAGACCAAGGGUUCCUGUCCAACGUUAAUCGGGGCAGGGUGAGUCGACCCCUAAGGUGAGGCCGAAAGGCGUAAUCGAUGGGAAACGGGUUAAUAUUCCCGUACUUCUGACUAUUGCGAUGGGGGGACGGAGAAGGCUAGGUGGGCCAGGCGACGGUUGUCCUGGUUCAAGUGCGUAGGCUUGAGAGUUAGGUAAAUCCGGCUCUCUCUAAGGCUGAGACACGACGUCGAGCUACUACGGUAGUGAAGUCAUUGAUGCCAUGCUUCCAGGAAAAGCCUCUAAGCUUCAGAUAGUCAGGAAUCGUACCCCAAACCGACACAGGUGGUCGGGUAGAGAAUACCAAGGCGCUUGAGAGAACUCGGGUGAAGGAACUAGGCAAAAUGGUACCGUAACUUCGGGAGAAGGUACGCUCUUGAUGGUGAAGUCCCUCGCGGAUGGAGCUGACGAGAGUCGCAGAUACCAGGUGGCUGCAACUGUUUAUUAAAAACACAGCACUGUGCAAAAUCGCAAGAUGACGUAUACGGUGUGACGCCUGCCCGGUGCCGGAAGGUUAAUUGAUGGGGUUAGCGCAAGCGAAGCUCUUGAUCGAAGCCCCGGUAAACGGCGGCCGUAACUAUAACGGUCCUAAGGUAGCGAAAUUCCUUGUCGGGUAAGUUCCGACCUGCACGAAUGGCGUAAUGAUGGCCACGCUGUCUCCACCCGAGACUCAGUGAAAUUGAAAUCGCUGUGAAGAUGCAGUGUACCCGCGGCUAGACGGAAAGACCCCGUGAACCUUUACUACAGCUUGGCACUGAACAUUGAACCUACAUGUGUAGGAUAGGUGGGAGGCUAUGAAGACGUGACGCCAGUUGCGUUGGAGCCGUCCUUGAAAUACCACCCUUGUAUGUUUGAUGUUCUAACUUAGACCCAUUAUCUGGGUUGAGGACAGUGCCUGGUGGGUAGUUUGACUGGGGCGGUCUCCUCCCAAAGAGUAACGGAGGAGCACGAAGGUGGGCUAAUCACGGUUGGACAUCGUGAGGUUAGUGCAAUGGCAUAAGCCCGCUUAACUGCGAGAAUGACGGUUCGAGCAGGUGCGAAAGCAGGUCAUAGUGAUCCGGUGGUUCUGUAUGGAAGGGCCAUCGCUCAACGGAUAAAAGGUACUCCGGGGAUAACAGGCUGAUACCGCCCAAGAGUUCAUAUCGACGGCGGUGUUUGGCACCUCGAUGUCGGCUCAUCACAUCCUGGGGCUGAAGUCGGUCCCAAGGGUAUGGCUGUUCGCCAUUUAAAGUGGUACGCGAGCUGGGUUUAGAACGUCGUGAGACAGUUCGGUCCCUAUCUGCCGUGGGCGUUGGAAGAUUGAAGGGGGCUGCUCCUAGUACGAGAGGACCGGAGUGGACGAACCUCUGGUGUUCGGGUUGUGUCGCCAGACGCAUUGCCCGGUAGCUAAGUUCGGAAUUGAUAAGCGCUGAAAGCAUCUAAGCGCGAAGCGAGCCCUGAGAUGAGUCUUCCCUGACAGUUUAACUGUCCUAAAGGGUUGUUCGAGACUAGAACGUUGAUAGGCAGGGUGUGUAAGCGUUGUGAGGCGUUGAGCUAACCUGUACUAAUUGCCCGUGAGGCUUAACC